RNAcentral lists this ribosomal RNA (253 nucleotides) under uncultured bacterium. RNAcentral's name for it is "partial 16S ribosomal RNA". It matches the Rfam family "Bacterial small subunit ribosomal RNA", at positions 524 to 776 of the family's 1533-position model. The record is from RNAcentral.
UACGUAGGGUGCAAGCGUUAAUCGGAAUUACUGGGCGUAAAGCGUGCGCAGGCGGUUUUGUAAGUCUGUCGUGAAAGCCCCGGGCUCAACCUGGGAAUUGCGAUGGAGACUGCUAGGCUUGAAUCUGGCAGAGGGGGGUAGAAUUCCACGUGUAGCAGUGAAAUGCGUAGAGAUGUGGAGGAACACCGAUGGCGAAGGCAGCCCCCUGGGUCAAGAUUGACGCUCAUGCACGAAAGCGUGGGGAGCAAACAGG